GCUAAGAAUAUUCCGCAAUGGACGAAAGUCUGACGGAGCGACGCCGCGUGGAUGACGAAGGCCGAAAGGUUGUAAAGUCCUUUUGUUGGGGAAGAAUAAGCGCGGGAGGGAAUGCCCGCGUGAUGACAUGAACCGACGAAUAAGCCCCGGCUAACUACGUGCCAGCAGCCGCGGUAACACGUAGGGGGCGAGCGUUGUUCGGAAUUACUGGGCGUAAAGGGCAUGUAGGCGGCCUUGUAAGCCUGGCGUGAAAGUCACCGGCUCAACCGGUGGAUUGCGUCGGGAACUGCAGGGCUUGAGUCACGGAGAGGGAGCUAGAAUUCCUGGUGUAGGGGUGAAAUCUGUAGAGAUCAGGAAGAAUACCAAUGGCGAAGGCAAGCUCCUGGCCGAUGACUGACGCUGAGGUGCGAAAGUGUGGGGAUCAAACAGGAUUAGAAACCCUAGUAGUCC
This 450-nucleotide ribosomal RNA is filed under the name uncultured bacterium. RNAcentral describes it as "bacterial SSU rRNA". It matches the Rfam family "Bacterial small subunit ribosomal RNA", at positions 354 to 796 of the family's 1533-position model. The record is from RNAcentral.